Molecule: non-coding RNA, 3187 nt
Organism: Equus caballus (horse)
Lineage: Eukaryota; Metazoa; Chordata; Mammalia; Perissodactyla; Equidae
Source: RefSeq, a predicted model, not a curated record
GUCAAAGGUCAGAGGUCACGAAGGCUUUGUCUGCCUCGGAUGAGGAUCAGAGAGGCUCCAGAGAACAGUGAGAUUCUUGUCAGAAAGAACCUAGGCUUCCUGGCUUCCAGACUGUCAACCCAUGUUUUCCCCCAGCCAACUAUCUUCUGCCCAGACUGUGCUCCAGCCCAAAGUACGCAUUCCUUGACAGCCUCCACUCCCCUGCCACGGGGCCUCUUCUGGCACGGUGCAUGGUUAGUCUCCCAGUGGUAAUCUGCAUGCAGGUCCCUCUGUCCCCUGGAGAGCUGGGACCAGGUCUGAGGCAGCCCCGACUCCUCCACAGCAUGGCCUGGCCGGUAAGGGGGUGGGGAAGAAUGAGGCCAACCAGACCUCUCUGCUGCUAAAAAUAGCCAGUCACAGACUCAAGCUCUGAGAUGUCACUAGAAGCCAGGCAGACUCCCAGCGAGGGGCUCAGGAGGCAAGCCAGGCCUAUAUGGGACCUCCUUGGCUGUGCCAUGGGGCUCCCUGCCAAGGCUGGGAGGCAACUGGGGGUGGUGCAAGGCCAGUGUGAGUGAUGGAUACUCAGCCCCUGAUCCUGCAACAUAGAGGCAAAACCAUGGAGGUUUUGGAGAAGGUCCAUGGAAACUGAGGACACCUUGAGGAAAAGAGGCAGAGCAAGAAGGGCCCCAGCAGCCGGCCCGGGGGCGCAGUAGUAAGCUCCUGUACUCUGCCUCGGCAGCCUGGGGUUCGCCGGUUCGGAUCCCAGGAGCGGACCUAGCUCUGCUUAUCAAGCAAGCUGUGGAGGGCGCUCCACAUAUAAGUAGAGGAAGAUGGGCACAGAUGUUAGCUCAGGGCCAGUCUUCCUCAAAAAAAAAAGGGCCCCAAUAAAGGAAAACGGGAGCGGCAGAGCAGCUUGGUGUUAAGAGCAUCGGCUCUGAAUCAGACCGCUGUCUUUAAGCCACAGCUCAGCCACUCAACACUUGUGUGACCUUGAGCAACUUACUGAAUCUCUCUAAGCCUCAGAGUUGACAACAGCAGUUCCGCCUUCAUAGGCUGUUCUGUGAUAAGGCAGUUCUUCUAACACUCGAUUAAUCAACAGAGCCACCUGGGAGGCUUCUAAAAUAAUCGGGUUCUCAGCUCCACACUAGACCCACCGAACUGGGCUCUGCAGGGCAGGGCCUUGGAAAUCUUUGUGUCUUUUUCUUUAAACCUCCGAGGCAAUUCUGAUAAGCCAAGUUUGGGAAAGAGUAUAAGCAGAGAGCACUUGAGCCCCUUGCCAGCACAGAGUCCACACUUCCUAAGUGUUAGGCUACCCCUGCGCUCUCUCAAAGACAAAGACUGAGAGAGCCUGAGAUUUAAGACUGGAAAGCAGAGAGGAGCAGCCGGAGAAGCAGUGAGUGAGAGGGAAGAGAGGGGUGGAAGCACUGGGGGCCGAGGGGGUGGAAAGCAGGUCCUGGCUUGGACUACCAGGCAGGGAAAACAGCACCCUCCAUAGAAAGUAGUUGUAGCUUCUCCUCCAGGUGCUGAAGGCCACUUGGACAAGUGACAAGAGCCCAUUGUGGGCACAGAGCCAGAUGACGCAGUGUGGAAGGAUUCUGGGGACGGCACUGGGGGUUGGGAAGAAUGACUCUGGGGGACAUUGGGGGUCUCCUCUAGAGAGAGAUGAGACUUUAAAGGAAAACUCUCUUCAUGAUAUUCAUGGUAGUGGGGUGACAAAUGACUGGAGAAUCUGGGAAGUCCUGGGGUCCUCAUCACAGGACCGACAUUUGCCAUUUUCUGCUUCUCAAGCUCUUCCCAGUUAUGGAUGCAGCUCUCUGACCCCAGGGCAGGCAUUACUGUCCCCACUGGACAAAUGGGAAGCAAGAGAGAAGGGAGAAACUGAGGCAGUGUGUAAGUUAAGCGCUGCGUUCAAGGUCACACAGUAAGUUUGGGCAGUGUUUCCCAUCUGGCCUGGCACUGCAGCCCUGCUUCUCCAGCUCUGUCCCUGGCCCCUGCUCCCCCCUCCAGCCCCCAUCCAGCUCCUUGGGUUUCCAGUCCUGCCUCCAGCUGCACUGGGCCUUGGUUAUUUAUAGAGUGUCAGAUGCCCGGGGUUGUCUUCACUAGCAGCUGCAGGCCAGUUCCCUCCCGAGUGCCAGGGCUGGUGGAGAACCAACACCAAAGGCUGGAGGUCAGAGAAACCAACCUUGGGGGGGCGGGUUGGGGAACAUGGACAAUGGUCAACACAAACAGUAAUGUCAUCUCUGAUCUUGGAUGUUCAGAUCAUACUUCUGCUAAUCCCCUCAUCCAUCCAACCAUAGGCUCAUCUUAAACUUAAGAGAAUCCUGGGUGGAAGGCAAAUGGGGAAACUGAGGCAAAGAAUAGUAGAAGUACCAUGUCCAAAGUCAUAUGGCCAUUCUCUAACCUCAAGGUGGGGGUUAGGCAUGGCAGUAGGUGGAGAAGUCUGGUUAGGGGGUGUAGGGUGGGCAGAGAAAUCUCAGAGGGAGUAGGACCUGCCAAGGUGGUGCCUUGGCGUUUGUGGCCCUGUCCCUCUGCCCUUUGGCCUGGCAUGGUCUCAAGGCUGACAGCUUAAUGAGGGUAAAUGAGGGGCUGUUAGAACCUGAGCUGGGCCUAGUGCACAGCAAGCCCGCUGGGGCCAGAGGCCAAGGCCAGGGCAUUUCUAAUGGCCCCCCAGGGAUGUAAUUCAAAUCGGGCCCCAUCUCUGGAUUCCUCUUCCUCCUCCUGCCUACAGCAUCUACACCCACACCCCGCAAAUGUAGCUGCAGUCUCCUCUCCAUUUUCAGCUGGAGGAUGAAUUGAGGUGGAUGGUAAAUUCCUGUUCCACCCACCCCCAGGAUGACUCACAGCUUGAUCACCGUACAUUCUAAGAGCUGGCACCAAACGGAAUUAUAAGACUCCUUGUCCUCGGGGGCAGACCAGGGCCCCCGACCCAUCCCUAGAGCACGCCACACCACAGCCCUCCAACAGCACACUGCCCAAGCAGGUGCACUUGGGCAUCAGAGGCACGCGUGGUGAAGACAGUGGGGCUGUACGUCACUCACCGGCUGACAAGGAGCAAGGAGAAUGAUGACAUGAGAAGAAAGAAGAGAUGACGAAGGUAGAGAAGGAGAGAUCAAGUGGGAAGAGAGGAGAUAAGAAAAAGAGGAAGAGGUGAGUGGGAGAACCAAGGAUAUAAGAAUGGUGGGGCCCCAGUGGAAGGGAGGCUUGGAAA